CCUACCACAGAAUAUGUUCGUUAAGAGUAAAUCCCCUGCGGAUACUGUCUGUGAACGGAAAUACGAACUUCAAAGCUUGAACCAGGAGGGCAUUUUGUCCAUACCAUAUGAUGGCAUGUCGUUGUAGCUGCAGUGCAUGUAACCUGCAUAUCAUACACGUUUAACAGUGUAGAAACGAGGGAAAACAUGGGACUGGUGAAUUUGUUAUCAAUUCAAAAGCUGUACAUGGAAUGAUACAUGCAGGAAUUUGUGCCACACAUUUCAACAAUUUCCUUAAUGGAUUGAAUGUACUUUCUGUGAAUUCACAGCCAUACUUAAAGAAAAAGGAGAAUGAAACUGGAAAGAAAAUAUUUGCAGUUGCAAAAGAAUCCUGAAAAUAAAUUCAAAAGAAGAAACAGUUUUAAACAUGGUUAAUUUAAUGAAUAAUUGGAAGGUCUCAUUGUCAUCAUUUAACAGCAGGUUAUUAGCAGCAGUAUUUCAGAAAAAUGAAGGAUAGCUGUCAAUGGUAAAUGCAGCAUCAGAAUAUUCCCUAGGAAAGUUUACCCAGAGAGUUUGGGAAAGUAUAAAUAAGAAAUUAGAGUGGGAAACAGAUAACCAGAAAACAAAGAUUUCAAAAGAAAAGAAUUGCCACUAAUAGUAAUAUGAUAUAUCUGACUGGGAGCAACAUGUACUAUUCAAUAUGGAAGGUUUGACAAUUUUGACUGAGAACAAAGUGAACUCUAAUAAUGCUAUGACUAUCAAUCAAUACUUGACUGAAACAGAGGAGUAAACUAUUUACAUAUUUGUAAAUAUAACAGUUAUAUGUUUGCUUGAUUAUUGAGGCAUUCAAAAUAAAGGAAGUUGAAAAACCUUUGAAAAAGUUAUAAUUUCAGAAUUGUUUGGUUAUGUUACUAUGACAACUGAAAUAUAUAAUGUAUUGUCAUUAUGCUUCAUCAACUUAAAUCAUUUAUUGAGGAAAAGGUGACAAAGUCUUUUUAUCCAUUUACUUGCAUGACUGUUAUCUAUGAAUCGAUAAUUUAAAAAAAAUAAAAUAUUUGGUGAUUUUUGCUAUUCUGACUAAUUUAUUUUGCUCAUUAAUACCACAGUAAUGCUAAAACAAGCUGCAUUAUAAUGUAUCAUAGUAUUUGUUUACAUUUACAUAGAAGCCAUGUGUUGUUGCUCUAAAAUCAUGGGAUUUGAUCUUCUAUUGUCUGUUGGGUUGUAACUCUUGCACAUCAGAACAAUGCAAAAACUUGAAUUUUCCAACUUCAUGUCCUGUUGCCAUGGUAACCGUUGUUCAUAGAAACAAAAUAAAUGUUCUCAUUUC
Long non-coding RNA from Mytilus trossulus (common blue mussel), 1306 nucleotides. RefSeq lists it as uncharacterized. The record is from RefSeq and is a predicted model, not a curated record. The transcript is spliced from 4 exons. Lineage: Eukaryota; Metazoa; Mollusca; Bivalvia; Mytilida; Mytilidae.